GCUGGGCGUGGUGGCGCGUGCCUGUAAUCCCAGCUACUAGGGAGGCUGAGGCAGGAGAAUUGCUUGAACCUGGGAGGUGGAAGUGGCAGUGAGAUGAGAUUGCACCACUGUACUCCAGCCUGGGUGACAGAGCAAGAAUCUGUCUCAA
Gorilla gorilla gorilla (western lowland gorilla) is the source of this 148-nucleotide non-coding RNA. It matches the Rfam family "Metazoan signal recognition particle RNA". From Rfam's summary of the family: The signal recognition particle (SRP) is a universally conserved ribonucleoprotein. It is involved in the co-translational targeting of proteins to membranes. Lineage: Eukaryota; Metazoa; Chordata; Mammalia; Primates; Hominidae. The record is from Rfam.